AAAGUUUGACCUCCCCUAUGAUAUUUAUAUUUUAAAUGGCCGCGAUAAUUUGAUCGUGCAAAGGUAGCAUAAUAAUUAGUUUUCUAAUUGGGAACUGGAAUGAAAGGUCGAAUGAGAAAAAAGCUGUCUCAAUUUAAAUUAGAUUAGAAUUUUAUCUUUAAGUAAAAAAGCUUAAAUGAUUUUAAAAGACGAGAAGACCCUAUAGAGUUUUAUAUUUAUUGUUUUUUUUUUUAUUUUUAGGAUUUUAGUUUAAAAUUUUAUAAUAAAUAUUUGGUUGGGGUGAUUGGAAAAUUUGAAAAACUUUUUUUGAUUGUUUACCAUUGAUAU
RNAcentral lists this ribosomal RNA (327 nucleotides) under Onthophagus interstitialis. RNAcentral describes it as "partial 16S ribosomal RNA". The record is from RNAcentral. Lineage: Eukaryota; Metazoa; Arthropoda; Insecta; Coleoptera; Scarabaeidae.